Lingula anatina is the source of this 68-nucleotide non-coding RNA. NCBI's taxonomy places the organism in Eukaryota, Metazoa, Brachiopoda, Lingulata, Lingulida, Lingulidae. The record is from the annotation of a RefSeq genome assembly.
GGGGAGUUGGUGAAAGAAUCACGCCCGACUUUCAAUCGGGAGUUGCUAAGUAAUUUUGGUACUCUCUU